Molecule: ribosomal RNA, 473 nt
Filed under: uncultured Peptococcaceae bacterium
Lineage: Bacteria; Bacillati; Bacillota; Clostridia; Eubacteriales; Peptococcaceae
Description: bacterial SSU rRNA
Rfam family: Bacterial small subunit ribosomal RNA
Source: RNAcentral
GGACGAACGCUGGCGGCGUGCUUAACACAUGCAAGUCGAACGGAGUCUGCGUGGAAGCUUGCGAAAUGCAGACUUAGUGGCGGACGGGUGAGUAACGCGUGGAUAACCUGCCCACAAGCCUGGGAUAACGCCGGGAAACUGGUGCUAAUACCGGAUAAGCUCUUAGGGAUGCAUGUCCUUGGGAGGAAAGGGGAAACCCGCUUAUGGAUGGAUCCGCGUCCCAUUAGCUGGUUGGUGGGGUAACGGCCUACCAAGGCGACGAUGGGUAGCCGGCCUGAGAGGGUGGCCGGCCACACUGGGACUGAGACACGGCCCAGACUCCUACGGGAGGCAGCAGUGGGGAAUCUUCCGCAAUGGGCGAAAGCCUGACGGAGCAACGCCGCGUGAGUGACGAAGGCCCUUGGGUCGUAAAACUCUGUCUUCAGGGAAGAAAAAAAUGACGGUACCUGAGGAGGAAGCCCCGGCUAACUACG